This 732-nucleotide ribosomal RNA is filed under the name uncultured eukaryote. RNAcentral describes it as "bacterial SSU rRNA". It matches the Rfam family "Eukaryotic small subunit ribosomal RNA", at positions 670 to 1404 of the family's 1831-position model. The record is from RNAcentral.
UGUCCGUGCAAUGUGUUGCCUCCACCCAUCCUCGCGGAGAACGUAUAUGCCAUUAAUUUGGUGUGUACGGUAUCCGCGUCGUUUACUGUGAGAAAAUUAGAGUGUUUAAAGCAGGCAAUAUGCUUGAAUACAUUAGCAUGGAAUAAUAAAAUAGGACUUUGGUACUAUUUUGUGGGGUUGCAUACCAAAGUAAUGAUUAAUAGGAACAGUUGUGGAUAUUCGUAUGAGAAUGUCAGAGGUGAAAAUUUUGGAUUUUGAUCAGAGGAAAAACUGCGAAAGCAUAUAUCACGGAUGUUUUCAUUAUUCAAGAACGAAAGAGAGGGGAUAGAAGAUGAUUAGAUACCAUAGUAGUGUUAUCCAUAAAAUAUACCGACUAUGGAUAGGCGGAGGUGGUUUGUAUGAGUUCUCCAGCACCUCUCGAGAAAUAAAAGUGUUUGGGUUUUCGGGGGAGUAUAGUGGCAAGGGGGAAACUUAAAGGAAUAGAGGGAAGGGCACCCCCCCGAGUGGAGCGCGCGGGUUAAUUUUUGUCAACACGGGAAAAAUUACCAGGUCCCGACAUAGUAAGGAUUGACAGAUUGAGAGCUCUUUCUUGAUUCUAUGGGUGGUGGGCAUGGCCGUUGUUUAGUUGGUGGAGUGAUGAGUUGGGUUAAUUCUUCUAUCGACCGAGACCUCCUCAGCCUAAAUAGUUGAUAUAUUAUUAAGAAGAAUAUAUAUUGCUUGAGGGACAGAUAG